UCGGGUUAGUCUUGUACGACCAGGCUCCCGUUGAACUCCCCCAGAUCCGGAAGGAAGCAAGGGUAAACGGUUGAGCGGUGCGAUGCAAGUAGCUAACCC
This 99-nucleotide signal recognition particle RNA is filed under the name uncultured Salibacter sp. RNAcentral describes it as "Bacteroidales small SRP". It matches the Rfam family "Bacteroidales small SRP", at positions 8 to 103 of the family's 107-position model. From Rfam's summary of the family: The non-coding component of the signal recognition particle in Bacteroides The record is from RNAcentral. Lineage: Bacteria; Pseudomonadati; Bacteroidota; Flavobacteriia; Flavobacteriales; Salibacteraceae.